AAUACAAGGUUGAGACAGCGCCACGGGCGCCUUGUACGUGCGCCUCUGCAGGGUGGUGAGUGGUGUCGCGCCGCCGCCGCACCGAGAGGGGCAGAGCAACACAGUGGGGGGGGGGAGAGCGCCAACACGGCCAACACCCACUGGGGGUGCCUAACAAAGAAUGAGGGACAAGACGGCUCGGCGACGACCCGACCCGCGUCGCAUGAUGGUCGGAAAGGCGCCAAAGAAUCACGUCCACAUUGGGCUGUGCGUCCUGUACAGCGGCAGCGGAUUUCGUGGGCUGCAGAUCCAGGCCCACGCACCGACGUGCCACACAGUUGAGGGCGUGCUAAUCCAAGCACUGAAGGAUGCCGGCAUCGUCGCGGACGUGGUCCGCGGAAGGCCUGCUGGCGAGCAUCACCACUUUGCGCGCUCUUGCCGCACUGAUCGCGGCGUUCACGCUAUUCGAAACAUGGUCUCCCUCUUCGUUCCCAAGGAGGUGUUUGAGGAGAUGGGGCAGGCUGAGGGCAUCUGUGAGAAGCUUAACAGGCAGCUCCCGUCCACGGUUCGCGUCGCGAACGUCAUGCAGCUCUCCGGCAGCUUUAUCCCGCGCCACUGCUGCAACCGGCGCGUGUACCGCUAUAUGCUGCCGCUCUACGCUCUCUUGCCCCCGUGUGACACAUGGACCGCGGUCGACAAGUACUACCCUGGCUGCCUCGCUCACGUGCAAGCGCUGGCGGAGGAGGCGGCCGCGGCGCAACGAACCCAGUACAGUAUCCCGUACGUCGACCUAGAGAAGAUGAAUGCAGUCGCGCCUCCGGCCGAUGCGCAGGUGUCGGCGUCGUCGUGGCUGCGCGACCUGAAGGCGAACGCGGAUCGGUGCAACCAGGUGCUGCGCUCUCACUUCACAGGCUCGCGCCGAUACCACAACUUCUCCGUCGACAUCGACUCAAACCGUUCUGGUGUAAGCGCGAAGGUUAUCCAGCCAACGACGGACGAGGCACUGCGCGCCAUCUACCGCAGCGAAGUGUGCCCGCGGUUGUUCUUCUUCCCCUGCUCGACCAAGGGCAGAGCUGCUGACGAGGCGCCAGUUCCGGUGCACGGCGAGAGCAGGACGGAGUACGACAUGAAUCUUCUCAGGUACCCGCCACGAAUGUCCACUUCGCCGGAGGACACGGACGGCGGCAGCUUCGCGGCCUCGACGACGACGGCUCCUACCGGCACCAGCACCACCCCCGCCACAUGCUUGUCACCGAACACGACAGCGCUGCCGUUCCUCUUCUUCCAAAUUGAGGGCUGCUCCUUUCUGCUCAACAUGAUACGCAAGAUCAUCGGGUCGGUGCUGGCGGUGUGCCGCGGCGCUCGCGAGUCCAUCCUCGAAGACGCAUUCUCGCCUGAGCGUCGUGUCACGACCCCGCUGGCGCCGGGGCCGUACCUGUACCUUGCUCAGUCCACCUAUCAUGGGUACGACCGUUCCAUUGGCGGCGCCGGCAAUGCACACCAGCGUGGACGCCUCAGAAGGGUGCAGGACGCGUGGGGCGGCGCGGUUAGUGAGGCGGCCGAGGUGUUUGCGUUCCACAAGAUUGCGGCGGACAUCGUGGACGUGGAUCUGAAUGCGAUGCCGCCCCUGGACGACAUCCUCGCGGCGCGCGAUCGUGCACGGGCGGCGAGCCGGCCGCACACUGCCGUCGAGGACGCGCAUCUCGCCGACAUGAAGGAGUACAAGCCUGUGCUUCCCACUCGCAUUCCGUGGCCGGCCAGCAGCGAAAUGACGGUGUUCUUGCGGCUACUGCGAGUCCAUAACUGGAAUGUGCGGCCUAUCCAGCUCGACCCGGCCUGCAAAGCGCUGCGUGAGAUCAGCAAUAGGAAAGGGCGGCUAGCUGCCUCCUCCGCGGCCGCCGCCGAAUCACCGGGGGCCGAGGCAAGCAAGGCGGGAGAGGCGGAUGGAGGCGAUACCAAGGCGAACGAGACCACUGUAGAGCAGGCGGCUACGCCUACCGAUGGUGCAUGGAGGAUGCACAGUGAAGGAAGCGGUACGGGUGGAGUACCGGAGGGUGGCGAGGAUGGCUGGUUGUACGUGGCAGACACCCCUGAGGAGGCAUCGGUUCAGCGCCAAGCCUACUUUGCAAGCUGGUGGAAGCGGGCUCGCCCCUGGGAGUACGACGAUGCGAUGGGGAAGUCCUUGAUGCAUGGCGAAGAAGUCGGCACCGAGGAUGACUUCGAUGACGGCGACGGCAGUACUGCUCGGCCGCGGCGACACCGCCGUGUCUGAUUGCCGAGAAGAGUGCGACACUCUCCCUACCCCACCCUCAUCUUUCCACCUCCACUUGGUUUUGGCAUUUGGGUCUCUUCGCUGCUCUGCCAG
RNAcentral lists this unclassified non-coding RNA (2344 nucleotides) under Leishmania donovani. RNAcentral's name for it is "gene:LdHU3.26.0530(CDS-product:pseudouridylate_sy nthase-like_protein)". The record is from RNAcentral. Lineage: Eukaryota; Euglenozoa; Kinetoplastea; Trypanosomatida; Trypanosomatidae.